UACGGGAGGCAGCAGUGGGGAAUAUUGCACAAUGGGCGCAAGCCUGAUGCAGCCAUGCCGCGUGUAUGAAGAAGGCCUUCGGGUUGUAAAGUACUUUCAGUCGUGAGGAAGGUGUUAAGGUUAAUAACCUUAGCAAUUGACGUUAGCGACAGAAGAAGCACCGGCUAACUCCGUGCCAGCAGCCGCGGUAAUACGGAGGGUGCGAGCGUUAAUCGGAAUUACUGGGCGUAAAGGGCACGCAGGCGGUUAAUUAAGUUGGAUGUGAAAUCCCCGGGCUUAACCUGGGAAUGGCAUUCAAGACUGGUUAGCUAGAGUCUUGUAGAGGGGGUAGAAUUCCAUGUGUAGCGGUGAAAUGCGUAGAGAUGUGGAGGAAUACCGGUGGGCGAAAGGCGGCCCCUGGGACAAAGACUGACGCUCAUGUGCGAAAAGCGUGGGGAGCAAAACAGGGAUUAGAUACC
RNAcentral lists this ribosomal RNA (458 nucleotides) under uncultured bacterium. RNAcentral's name for it is "bacterial SSU rRNA". It matches the Rfam family "Bacterial small subunit ribosomal RNA", at positions 340 to 786 of the family's 1533-position model. The record is from RNAcentral.